CCUACGGGAGGCAGCAGUAGGGAAUCUUUCACAAUGGGCGAAAGCCUGAUGGAGCAACGCCGCGUGCAGGAUGAAGGCCUUCGGGUUGUAAACUGCUUUUAUAAGCGAGAAAUAUGAUGGUAACUUAUGAAUAAGGAUCGGCUAACUACGUGCCAGCAGCCGCGGUCAUACGUAGGCUCCGAGCAUUAUCCGGAGUGACUGGGUGUAAAGAGUGGCGUUGGGGGGAUAAGAAGGAGCGAGGGAAAUCCGGUGGUUCAACCAAUCAGACUAUUAGCUAAACUGUUAAGCUCGAGACCGUUAGGGGUAAGUGGAAUGUCUGGUGUAGGAGUGAAAUGCGUAGAUAUUAGAAGGAACACCAAUAGCGUAGGCAGGUUACUGGAACGGUACUGACACUAAGGCACGAAAGCGUAGGGAGCAAACGGGAUUAGAUACCCGUGUAGUC
Molecule: ribosomal RNA, 442 nt
Filed under: uncultured bacterium
Lineage: Bacteria
Description: partial 16S ribosomal RNA
Rfam family: Bacterial small subunit ribosomal RNA
Source: RNAcentral